The sequence is a ribosomal RNA, 608 nucleotides long. It matches the Rfam family "Bacterial small subunit ribosomal RNA", at positions 38 to 643 of the family's 1533-position model.
AGGGCGGCGGGCUACACAUGCAAGUCGAGCGGUAACAGGGGUAGCUUGCUACCCGCUGACGAGCGGCGGACGGGUGAGUAAUGCAUAGGAAUCUGCCCGAUAGUGGGGGAUAACCUGGGGAAACCCAGGCUAAUACCGCAUACGUCCUACGGGAGAAAGGGGGCUCCGGCUCCCGCUAUUGGAUGAGCCUAUGUCGGAUUAGCUAGUUGGUGAGGUAAAGGCUCACCAAGGCGACGAUCCGUAGCUGGUCUGAGAGGAUGAUCAGCCACAUCGGGACUGAGACACGGCCCGAACUCCUACGGGAGGCAGCAGUGGGGAAUAUUGGACAAUGGGCGAAAGCCUGAUCCAGCCAUGCCGCGUGUGUGAAGAAGGCCCUCGGGUUGUAAAGCACUUUCAGCGAGGAAGAACGCCUAGUGGUUAAUACCCAUUAGGAAAGACAUCACUCGCAGAAGAAGCACCGGCUAACUCCGUGCCAGCAGCCGCGGUAAUACGGAGGGUGCAAGCGUUAAUCGGAAUUACUGGGCGUAAAGCGCGCGUAGGUGGCUUGAUAAGCCGGUUGUGAAAGCCCCGGGCUCAACCUGGGAACGGCAUCCGGAACUGUCAAGCUA